Molecule: small nucleolar RNA, 118 nt
Filed under: Trypanosoma vivax Y486
Lineage: Eukaryota; Euglenozoa; Kinetoplastea; Trypanosomatida; Trypanosomatidae
Description: Small nucleolar RNA TBR17
Rfam family: Small nucleolar RNA TBR17
About the family: TBR17 is a member of the C/D class of snoRNA which contain the C (UGAUGA) and D (CUGA) box motifs.
Source: Rfam by way of RNAcentral
UGUGAUUGGUACGUUCGAUGCUCCACCACGCAGCUGUCCCAUUAUGCAUAUCCUGUGUGCGCUCUAGCCCCGUCGGGGCCCUGAUGAGUCUGCAUCAAACCAUGCAUUACACAUCCAC